This 468-nucleotide ribosomal RNA is filed under the name uncultured bacterium. Its description in RNAcentral is "partial 16S ribosomal RNA". It matches the Rfam family "Bacterial small subunit ribosomal RNA", at positions 28 to 507 of the family's 1533-position model. The record is from RNAcentral.
GACGAACGCUGGCGGCGUGCUUAACACAUGCAAGUCGAACGGAAAGGCCCUGCUUUUGUGGGGUGCUCGAGUGGCGAACGGGUGAGUAACACGUGAGUAACCUGCCCUUGACUUUGGGAUAACUUCAGGAAACUGGGGCUAAUACCGGAUAGGAGCUCCUGCUGCAUGGUGGGGGUUGGAAAGUUUCGGCGGUUGGGGAUGGACUCGCGGCUUAUCAGCUUGUUGGUGGGGUAGGGGCUUACCAAGGCUUUGACGGGUAGCCGGCCUGAGAGGGGGACCGGCCACAUUGGGACUGAGAUACGGCCCAGACUCCUACGGGAGGCAGCAGUGGGGAAUAUUGCACAAUGGGCGGAAGCCUGAUGCAGCAACGCCGCGUGCGGGAUGACGGCCUUCGGGUUGUAAACCGCUUUCGCCUGUGACGAAGCGUGAGUGACGGUAAUGGGUAAAGAAGCACCGGCUAACUACGUG